RNAcentral lists this ribosomal RNA (247 nucleotides) under uncultured bacterium. RNAcentral describes it as "partial 16S ribosomal RNA". It matches the Rfam family "Bacterial small subunit ribosomal RNA", at positions 523 to 769 of the family's 1533-position model. The record is from RNAcentral.
AUACGGAGGGUGCGAGCGUUAUUCGGAAUUACUGGGCGUAAAGGGCGCGUAGGCGGCCGAAUUUGUCCGAUGUGAAAGCCCGGGGCUUAACCUCGGAAGUGCAUUGGAGACGGUUCGGCUUGAGUGUCGGAGAGGGUGGGGGAAUUCCCGGUGUAGAGGUGAAAUUCGUAGAUAUCGGGAGGAAUACCGGUGGCGAAGGCGACCACCUGGCCAAAUACUGACGCUGAGGCGCGAAGGCGUGGGGAGC